RNAcentral lists this ribosomal RNA (502 nucleotides) under uncultured bacterium. Its description in RNAcentral is "bacterial SSU rRNA". It matches the Rfam family "Bacterial small subunit ribosomal RNA", at positions 30 to 504 of the family's 1533-position model. The record is from RNAcentral.
UGAACGCUGGCGGCGUGCCUAACACAUGCAAGUCGCACGAGAAAUCUUCAGCUUGCUGAAGAGAGUAAAGUGGCGUACGGGUGAGUAACGCGUGGGUAAUCUGCCUCCGAAUCGGGGAUAACAUUGCGAAAGCGAUGCUAAUACCGGAUAACAUCCCUUUGGCUUCGGCCGUUGGGAUCAAAGGUGGCCUCUACAUGUAAGCUACUGUUUGGAGAUGAGCUCGCGUACCAUUAGCUUGUUGGUGAGGUAACGGCUCACCAAGGCUACGAUGGUUAGCUGGUCUGAGAGGAUGAUCAGCCACACUGGAACUGACACACGGUCCAGACUCCUACGGGAGGCAGCAGUGAGGAAUUUUGCGCAAUGGGGGAAACCCUGACGCAGCAACGCCGCGUGAGUGAUGAAGGCUUUCGGGUCGUAAAGCUCUGUCAAGUGGGAAGAAACUACGAAGUGCCAAUACCACUUUGUACUGACGGUACCACUGAAGGAAGCACCGGCUAACUCC